This 988-nucleotide ribosomal RNA is filed under the name Pseudomonas allii. RNAcentral describes it as "bacterial SSU rRNA". It matches the Rfam family "Bacterial small subunit ribosomal RNA", at positions 49 to 1047 of the family's 1533-position model. The record is from RNAcentral. Lineage: Bacteria; Pseudomonadati; Pseudomonadota; Gammaproteobacteria; Pseudomonadales; Pseudomonadaceae.
UAACACAUGCAAGUCGAGCGGUAGAGAGAAGCUUGCUUCUCUUGAGAGCGGCGGACGGGUGAGUUAAUGCCUAGGAAUCUGCCUGGUAGUGGGGGAUAACGUUCGGAAACGAACGCUAAUACCGCAUACGUCCUACGGGAGAAAGCAGGGGACCUUCGGGCCUUGCGCUAUCAGAUGAGCCUAGGUCGGAUUAGCUAGUUGGUGAGGUAAUGGCUCACCAAGGCGACGAUCCGUAACUGGUCUGAGAGGAUGAUCAGUCACACUGGAACUGAGACACGGUCCAGACUCCUACGGGAGGCAGCAGUGGGGAAUAUUGGACAAUGGGCGAAAGCCUGAUCCAGCCAUGCCGCGUGUGUGAAGAAGGUCUUCGGAUUGUAAAGCACUUUAAGUUGGGAGGAAGGGCAGUUACCUAAUACGUGAUUGUUUUGACGUUACCGACAGAAUAAGCACCGGCUAACUCUGUGCCAGCAGCCGCGGUAAUACAGAGGGUGCAAGCGUUAAUCGGAAUUACUGGGCGUAAAGCGCGCGUAGGUGGUUUGUUAAGUUGGAUGUGAAAUCCCCGGGCUCAACCUGGGAACUGCAUUCAAAACUGACUGACUAGAGUAUGGUAGAGGGUGGUGGAAUUUCCUGUGUAGCGGUGAAAUGCGUAGAUAUAGGAAGGAACACCAGUGGCGAAGGCGACCACCUGGACUAAUACUGACACUGAGGUGCGAAAGCGUGGGGAGCAAACAGGAUUAGAUACCCUGGUAGUCCACGCCGUAAACGAUGUCAACUAGCCGUUGGAAGCCUUGAGCUUUUAGUGGCGCAGCUAACGCAUUAAGUUGACCGCCUGGGGAGUACGGCCGCAAGUUAAAACUCAAAUGAAUUGACGGGGCCCGCACAAGCGGGGAGCAUGUGUUAAUUCGAAGCAACCGAAGAACUUACAGGCUUGAAUCAAUGAAUUUCUAGAGAAGAUGGUGCCUUCGGAAAUUGAGACAGGUGCUGCUGG